RNAcentral lists this transfer RNA (72 nucleotides) under Stegodyphus dumicola. RNAcentral describes it as "tRNA-Met". It matches the Rfam family "tRNA". Rfam says of the family: Transfer RNA (tRNA) molecules are approximately 80 nucleotides in length. Their secondary structure includes four short double-helical elements and three loops (D, anti-codon, and T loops). Further hydrogen bonds mediate the characteristic L-shaped molecular structure. tRNAs have two regions of fundamental functional importance: the anti-codon, which is responsible for specific mRNA codon recognition, and the 3' end, to which the tRNAs corresponding amino acid is attached (by aminoacyl-tRNA synthetases). tRNAs cope with the degeneracy of the genetic code in two manners: having more than one tRNA (with a specific anti-codon) for a particular amino acid; and 'wobble' base-pairing, i.e. permitting non-standard base-pairing at the 3rd anti-codon position. Lineage: Eukaryota; Metazoa; Arthropoda; Arachnida; Araneae; Eresidae. The record is from RNAcentral.
GCCUUUGUGGUGUAACGGUAGCACACUCGGCGCAUAUUCGAGAGGUCCAGGGUUCGAGUCCCAGCGAGGGCA